AGAGAGAGACAUGCGCGCAUAUCAAUAAGCGGAGGAAAAGAAACUAACUAGGAUUCCCUCAGUAACGGCGAGUGAAGCGGGAAGAGCUCGAAUUUGAAAUCUUCAAGGUUCUACCUUGACGAAUUGUAGUUUAAAGAAGUGUUUUCUGUUGGAGUUUUGGUAAAAGUUCUUUGGAAUAGGACAUCAUAGAGGGUGAGAAUCCCGUAUUUGACCAUUAUUUCCAGCUUUGUGAUACACUUUCAAAGAGUCGGAUUGUUUGGGAAUGCAGUCCAAAAUGGGUGGUAAAUUUCAUCUAAAGCUAAAUACUGGCGAGAGACCGAUAGCGAACAAGUACCGUGAGGGAAAGAUGAAAAGAACUUUGAAAAGAGAGUUAAACAGUACGUGAAAUUGUCAAAAGGGAAGCGUUUGACACCAGUGUUGUUUUCUCGAAAAUCAAUUAAAAAUGGCAGGAUUUUGUGUUGUAUUGACUUUAUCAGCUUUCUGCACUUUUUCUUGUCUUUUUUAAUGCACUUUUCGUUUAACAAGUCAACAUCAAUUUCUUUUGUUGUAAAAGGGUCAUUGGAAGGUGGCUUUCUUUUCGGAGAAAGUGUUUAUAGCCUUUGGCCUCUGCAAUCGGAGAGAUUGAGGUCUGCAGCGUAGAUCCUUCGGGGUUAGAUACAUUUGUGCUAAGUUAUAGCCUUUCAUAGACAACUUGUUGACUAUGAUCAGUCAUGUAGCUUACUCGCUUAUGCUAUUUUACCUACGCUUAGGAUGUUGACAGCAGUAUAGACUGU
This 773-nucleotide ribosomal RNA is filed under the name uncultured Neocallimastigales. RNAcentral describes it as "partial large subunit ribosomal RNA". It matches the Rfam family "Eukaryotic large subunit ribosomal RNA", at positions 23 to 633 of the family's 3401-position model. The record is from RNAcentral. Lineage: Eukaryota; Fungi; Neocallimastigomycota; Neocallimastigomycetes; Neocallimastigales.